This 1945-nucleotide long non-coding RNA is filed under the name Varroa destructor (honeybee mite). Its description in RNAcentral is "uncharacterized LOC111251087, transcript variant X1". Lineage: Eukaryota; Metazoa; Arthropoda; Arachnida; Mesostigmata; Varroidae. The record is from RNAcentral.
UGCCAGUUUACCACUGGCACUGCCCUCGGAUCAAGAGAUGAAAAGUGGAGUCGUUUGUCUGCUUCGACCAUGAGGAACGCGUGGCCGACGCUUGUUUGAUGUAAUAUCCGUGAAGACGCAGGCAGUAGCUCGUAUUAGCUGACAAACGUGAAGAUCAGUUUCUGGACCUCACCACCAUCGGACAGCAACAGCGUUCUGUAUCUGUUCAGUAGCUUCGUGCAUCGAUGUUACACAAACUACAAUGAAAGGAUUUUAAAUGUGUUAGCCGGCUGUUAUCGCGGAGUUUAACACAAAUUGGUGCUAAGACGUUGCACUGCUGACUUCGUUGGACGUUGCGGACCAUUCGUGCAAGAGGAUAACACUGGUAUAUCCAUCAUGAUCGGAACAAUACUUAACGGGAUAUUCAGACACGUUCCUGAUACGUACCUCAUUAUCUUGAUAUGAUAAGUAUCAUAUCAUUAUCUAAUGACAAUUUGAGAAGCACUAGGGAAAGCCCUGCUUCUUACUGAUGCGGCGAUGGGAAUACUACAAACUGAGGUUGAUGGACCCGGGCUUAUCAGUAGAACUUCAAUUUAGUGGUAUACGAUCGGAUUUGAGCACUUUUAUCUAACAGAAAUGAACGCAGGAAGAAAAACAGCUUUUCGAGCCGAAAAUCAACAUUUAGCGGUUAAGUUUUUGCCGUUCAAAGGGCCGCAGCGUUACGGAAAUACAUCGAAUAUUGGUAAAGACAUGUGCGAAUGAAUGGAGACCGCAGUGCUGAAGACCGGUGAGGAAGUGAUCGGAUGUCGGCGCCUGAAAGACGAAAAUGCGUUGUUACAAUCGAGAAAGCUCUUUACGAAAAUAGAGCUUGGGGUCAAAGGGUUCCGCCAGUCAAAACUGGCAUUUCAUUAGUAACAUGUUACAAGAUUAUAAUCAAUCAAAUACUGAAAAAUUGCAAACGGAGUAAAAGAUCGAUCCCCGUGAGUUGACACCGGGUUAGUUGUAUUAAGUGUAUGUAGUGUAUUUUACGUACAAUUUACGAAAUUCUAAUCAACGAAAAACCCUGGAACCUACAAUCGCCAUCGAGGAGGCACGAUUUAGUCCCGACAGCCGCUCGGAAAGGGGAAUAGGCGAGAGAAUGGCGUCGCCCUAGAAUGUGUUCAAACUCGAGGCAAUGGUAGUACUUACAAUAAAAAUCCGGGGCAUCUCCUACUGUAAGAUAUUCACUGAAAAUUAAACAACAAGUGCAGCCCGCCAUCUUGAAUUACCCAAGAGACUCACAGAUUGCAAAUAGGGUCUGACCAGGCUGCGUGCUAUCAACUGAUAGCACGCAGCCUGGUCGUUUGAUGACAGCGUCAAAGUUCACCGUCAAGUCUCAAAUUGUUUUCAGAUUUAUCAAGGGAGUAUCCAAGAGUACGGCUUCAACCCGCUUGUUCUACCGAUCUAAGUCCGUGUCUAUGGAGCUUUCCAUGCCCUAGAGAAGACAACUGUUGGGCAAGCUUAUAUUGUUAUGCAUUUAUUCCGAGAAGCAAUAGAUAAAGAAGUCGCAAGUGAUAGGUAUUUUACUGCCCAAAAAAGGCGUAGAGCGCUCGGAUACAUUUUCAAAAAAUAAAAUAUAUCAAAACACACAUAUAAAAAAUCGUCGUUGUAGUUCAGAAGCUAUUCAGUUUCAAAGUCUACCAAAAUCGUUAACAGCCCAAUAGAUAAAAAAACUAUUCAUGGGCUCAUUAUUCAUCCGUUUAAGGAUCGCUUCAGACUCCACAAAUCUUACCACACAAAUUCUUGUAUACAACCUCCCUGAGACUGUAGUAUUCUUUGCUCUUAUUUCCGUACCUGAUUUUCUUUUUACUAAAUAAUUUUAUACUCAAUAAAAUUUCACUUUAUUAAAUAUAAACAUUAUCAAAGCAGUGUUAAAAUUUAAUAAAUUUUUUACCCACCCGUUUGAGUUAGCAUGAACUAAGUAGAA